UACAAAGUUAAUUUCAGAGCCGACCGAUGCAUGCAAGGACCAGUCGAGCACGUACGAAAGUGACAAUGGAGGACGCUGGUGGUAGUACUGCACGAAGGCAGCCUUCACCCUCCGUCAACGCCUCAAGAGCGCCGUCCGGCCACUGGCCGCCGGCGGAUCAGGGGCCGGUGAGCCCUACCGGGAGGCUCAUGGACGGCUUCUACAUCGUCGUCAGCAUGGGGCUUGGGGUGCCCCUAAACUUCCCCGUCCUCCGCGCCGGCAUCGAGACCCAGCUCGCGCGACACCCGCGGUUCCACAGCAUCCAGGUGACCAAAGAUGGCAAGCCACCACGGUGGGUGCACGCGUCGGCGUUGAACUUGGAUGACCACAUCACCACCCCACUGCUGGACGGCGCCGCCGUGGCGUCCAACCCGGAUAAGGCCGUGGAGGACUACGUGGCCUCGCUGUCCACGGCGCCCAUGGACCGCUCCCGGCCGCUCUGGGAGCUCCACUUCCUCAACUACCCGACCACCGAGGCGGCGUCCACCGUGGUGAUCCGUGUGCAUCACUCCCUCGGCGACGGCAUGUCGCUGCUCACCCUCCUCAUGGCGUCCACGCGCAGCGCUGCCGACCCGUCGAGGCUCCCGGCCAUGCCGGCGCAGCCCGCUCGCUCCGGAUCCAUCUACGCGCGACCGCGGCCCCCGUGGUCCGCAGGCACUCUGGCGUUCGUCACGUGGGCUUGGUCGUACGUCGUGCUCGCGUGGCACACCGUGGUGGACGUGGCGCUCUUCGUCGCCACAAUCAUGUUCGUCAGGGACCCACAGACACUGUUCAAGCCUGCCGACGGCGGGGGCGGCGAGCUCCCCCGCCGCAAGCGCUUCGUGCACCGGAGCCUUAGCCUCGACGACGUCAAGUUCCUGAAACAUGCCAUGAACUGCACUGUGAACGAUGUGAUAGUUGGAGUGACUUCCGCUGCUCUGUCGCGAUACUAUUUCCGAAAAUCUGGUGACACUAAUACCAAAAUUAUAUGUUUGCGAUCGAUCCUCCUUGUGAACAUGAGGCCAACCAGUGGCCUACAGGAAUAUGUCAAUAUGAUGGAGUCCGGUAAGAGUAACGAUAUGACACGGAGAAAUCAACUUGGCUACAUAAUCCUACCAUUUCAGAUUGCUGUGCACAAAGAUCCACUUGAAUAUAUUCGCAAGGCCAAAAAGAUUGUUGAUAGGAAGAAAAGCUCACUGGAAGUGAUGUUCACGCAUAUGCUUGCCGAAGUUAUAAUCAAAACUCUUGGUGUGAAGGCAGCAGGUGUUAUUUUCCACCGUAUGAUAUCACACACGACCAUAUCAUUUUCGAACAUGAUUGGGCCAGCAGAGCAGGUAGAGUUCUAUGGGCACCCAGUUGUCUCCAUUGCGCCUAGCGUCUACGGUCCGCCAGAAGCUCUGACGGUGCACUACCAGAGUUAUAGUAACACCAUCAAGGUAAUUCUAGCUGUUGAUGAGGCACACUUUCCAGAUCAUGGUCAACUUUUGGAUGACUUCACCGAGUCCCUUAGGAUCAUCAAGGAUGAGGCUUCAAGAUUGUAAUGACAAUCGAGGAUGAGAAUUUUGCUGGUGUCAACAACAUGUUUGUAAGGCGAACAUGAAGAACAGAUGACAAUUUUUGCUUCGAUUGAGCCAGGCGACACCUUGUCCAGGUCGGCUUAUGGACACUCAUCUGCUGGGAUUAGAGAAAAUAUGGCUGUUGGAGAGUUUGUUCCUCUAAUGAUGAUUAGUAGGGAACAAAAUAGGGUAGCACAUCAGUUGGCAUUUUAUAGCCGUACCGAAGCUUGUACUUGUUGUCUCGAGAUUGUAAUCCUAUUAUUACGGAAGAAAGCUCUCUUUCACCCUGAAAAAAAGGAGGAAAGGAAGAACAAACAAAAGCGGCACCAAUAGCUGAUAAAAAAAUAUAUGAAAUGCUCUGAACUAUGCUACUGAACAUGAUCA
Molecule: RNA transcript, 1958 nt
Organism: Aegilops tauschii subsp. strangulata
Lineage: Eukaryota; Viridiplantae; Streptophyta; Magnoliopsida; Poales; Poaceae
Gene name: wax ester synthase/diacylglycerol acyltransferase 11
Source: RefSeq, a predicted model, not a curated record